Molecule: long non-coding RNA, 1321 nt
Filed under: Struthio camelus australis
Lineage: Eukaryota; Metazoa; Chordata; Aves; Struthioniformes; Struthionidae
Description: lncRNA (ENSSCUG00000007542.1)
Source: RNAcentral
UAUUUACCCGGAAUAGCUGCUAAAGAUGUUCUUCCUUUGUCUUACGUAGCCCAAAUUGUUUCAUGGCAUGUUUCAAGGCAUGUUGUCUGUUCUAACCUUUAACUAGCAGGGUAGUUCUAACCUUUAACUAGCAGGGUAGUUCUAACCUUUAACUAGCAGGGUAGUUCUAACCUUUAACUAGCAGGGUAGUUUUAAAUUGACCAUAACCCUGUGUAAGAAUUCUGUUUUGGCUUUAAGGUGGCUUUUAUCACUUCUGUUCCAGCCUAUCCCAUACUUUAAAUUCUGUAGCAUACCCCUUCUAUUCCUUAACUCAGAGAAAUAGAUACUCUCUUCUAGUUUGUGUUUAUCUGAGUUCUGCAGAAGGAUUUACAUAAAGACAGGAGUCAGUGGCCUUGCUCUGGGUGUAAAAUUAAUCAUAUGUAUGUCUCUAUAUGAGUAAGAUCUUGAUGAAAUGAUCAGCCAUGUGGUAAUAAGUCAUUCUAGAUGACACACAGCAUUUACUGAAUUCUGGUAAAUUGCAUCAACAUUUGAGAAGAAUUUAACAAGGGGGAACCGCAUAAGAAGCGAGAGUCAACAGUGUCUGUUGAGUCAUUCCCUAACUAUUUUGGGUAAAGUGGUUGUCCAAGUGGAUAAAACACAUUUGGAAGAGUGGUUUUGUUACAGAACUGAUUAUUAUAACAAAAUUCUUUGGAAGUGUCUUUUAUUUUCCAUCAGAGACUAAUUAAAUGGACUAAUUAAAUUUGGACUAAUAGUCCAAAUGUGUGAGUAGUAUAAAGGCGCGUGAUUGUAUCCAGUUAUCUCGCAUGGAGUAAUAGCAUUUAAUAAAUAUUUACUGCAUCUCAAACUAUAGUCAGCACUUUUGCUUUAUGUAAAACAUGCACUCUUCUCUUUGGUAGCUUGAUUGUUUUAAAAGAACCAUCGAUAUGGAAGAUGCUAAGUUCAGUGAUAGUGGUGAAGAAGAGCAGAAAACUCUUUUACCAUUUCUGGAACAGGAAGAAAAAGAAGACAGAGCCAGUCAGUUCUCUAAUAUGAAAGACCACCAGGAAGAACACAAACUUGAAGAGUCAGGUGAUGGUGGCAAGAUGGGAAACAAGGACCCUUCUAAAGGAGCUGGAGAUGAGUCUGAUUCUAGCAUGUAAAUAACUUAAUUUGUUAUCAGUUCUAACAGUAAUUUCUUCUAUAGUGUUAAUUUACAUUUUUAAAGAUAAGGUUUGGUUAAUUCAGCUAUCCAUUGGGCGGGGGGGUUGGCAAAUUCAUCAUUGAGAUGUAUGGCCUUUCCGUUAAAAAUAAACAAAAUCAGUUACCAUUGUUAAAAUAAUGA